This 249-nucleotide unclassified non-coding RNA is filed under the name uncultured Pleosporales. RNAcentral describes it as "sequence contains 5.8S rRNA gene, ITS2, 28S rRNA gene". Lineage: Eukaryota; Fungi; Ascomycota; Dothideomycetes; Pleosporales. The record is from RNAcentral.
AACGCACAUUGCGCCCCUUGGUAUUCCAUGGGGCAUGCCUGUUCGAGCGUCAUUUGUACCUUCAAGCUUUGCUUGGUGUUGGGUGUUUGUCUCGCCUCUGCGUGUAGACUCGCCUUAAAACAAUUGGCAGCCGGCGUAUUGAUUUCGGAGCGCAGUACAUCUCGCGCUUUGCACUCAUAACGACGACGUCCAAAAGUACAUUUUUACACUCUUGACCUCGGAUCAGGUAGGGAUACCCGCUGAACUUAA